GUAGGUGAACCUGCGGAAGGAUCAUUAUUGAAUGAACUUGGUGUGGUUGUUGCUGGCCCUUUCAGGGGCAUGUGCACACCCAUCAUCCUCAUCUCUCCACCUGUGCACCUCUUGUAGAUUUGGAUUGACUUUCCGAGGCAACUCGGUCGGGAGGACUUGCUGGCAUUAGCUGGCUUUCCUUGCAUUUCCAAGUCUAUGUUUUUUCAUAUACCCCAUUGAAUGUAACAGAAUGUAACAUAUUGGGCCUUUGUGCCUAUAAAAACUUAUACAACUUUCAGCAACGGAUCUCUUGGCUCUC
RNAcentral lists this unclassified non-coding RNA (298 nucleotides) under rhizosphere metagenome. Its description in RNAcentral is "partial ribosomal RNA internal transcribed spacer region". The record is from RNAcentral.